GGAGACGGAAGGGGCUGGAGAAUUUCAUGAGAAGCCAGUCCGCGCCUUUGCAAGUUGUACACACUCCUCCAUACAAUGUGUUGACUUUGUACGGGAGGCUGAGGUGCUGCCAUCCAUUUAGAUGAUGCUGGUGCGGAAUGAAAGUCGAACAGCAGGAGUUGUGCAGCAGAGAAGGCUCUUUUGAUUUGUAGCUUCUUUUGUUGCUUUCCUUUUGAGUUUCCUUGGUUCUGUGGUAUGGACCUCUACAGACCUAGAAAAGUUCAGAAACUUGAAAGGGAAGAAGCCCUUCCUCCCCAGGGCUGGUUCCUCCACUUUCAUCCUGUGUCAGGUGUUCACGCCUCACAAAGAUGGUGUUAAAUGGAACUCUCUACAAACUCUGGGUGGCUGGGAGUCCUUCCGAGAUGUUAUGUUCUGGCAAUAAUGGAGUCUUGUUACUACAGGCUGUUAACAUGCACCCUUCCACUGUUGAAGAAAGACACCCAGGCGGCUACAGAGCACGUGGCUUCCAGGAGGCUCUCAGGUUGGAGGAGUUCUCAGCUUAUGGGAUCCUAACUCCCCAACCAGGGAUUGAAUUUGCACCCCCUGCAUUGAAAGAUGAAGUCCCAACCACUGGACUACCAGGGAAGUCCCGUAUGAAAUUACUGACUAUGAAGAAGCAAGAAGAUGGGAUUUUUAUGCUGUGCUCAGUUGCUCAAUUGUGUCUGACUCUUUGUGACCCAAUGGACUGUGGUCCUCCAGGCUCCUCUGUCGAUGAAAUUUUCCAGGCAAGAAAUACUAGAGUGGAUUGCCAUUUCCUUCUCCAGGGGAACUUCCUGGCCCAGGAAUUGAACCCGUGUCUCCUGUAUUGGCAGGUGGAUUCUUUACCACUGAACCACCUAGGAAUCAAGGUUUUCUUUCGCAGAGGACAUGUAUGGUAA
RNAcentral lists this long non-coding RNA (917 nucleotides) under Capra hircus (goat). Its description in RNAcentral is "lncRNA (ENSCHIG00010003467.1)". The record is from RNAcentral. Lineage: Eukaryota; Metazoa; Chordata; Mammalia; Artiodactyla; Bovidae.